Molecule: long non-coding RNA, 1303 nt
Organism: Bos taurus (domestic cattle)
Lineage: Eukaryota; Metazoa; Chordata; Mammalia; Artiodactyla; Bovidae
Source: Ensembl
ACAGUGAGCUUACUUUUCUGAACUAUUCCCUGUUAUUCCUUAGCUCCUUGAAAUCAGCAUGCUAUGUCAGAUUGCCCAAAAGAAAAGAAAAGAAGAAAAAAAAAGUCCUGGGUGUGAAGGGAAAACUGAUCCUUUGGAAGAAAAAAGACGAGGAUUCCUGUUGAGGACCGGAUGGAGAAUUCUUUUCUUGCUGGAGAAGAGGCUCACCGGGGGCAGCAGAGGCAGCAACUUCUAACUUCUGCAAACAUGCAUCCUGAUCAGAAUCCCUCAGGGCUCUAGCGCCUGGAACUGAGCUGGCAGGAGGAAGGGCUAGGCCAGGAGUAACGUUUUUUAAGGCAAAGGAUAGCGCGGGGGUAGGGGGGGAGGCGGGGGGAGGUAGAGGGAAUGUCACAGAGAAGAUUUUUCCUUGCUUAGCAUGGAAAUUCCAUGGGAAUUCAUGCUAUUCCUCUCAGUCCGGUGGGAGGGUAGUAACAUCCCCCACCUCCACCCGCUGUAACUUCUGAUUUCGCCGGGAGUAACCAGAGAGCGCGCGCCAAGGCCCAGUGCCUUCAGCGGGGCGAAGAUUUGAUCGAGAACAAAAGAACGCUUGCCAAUCAGAAAACGCUACCCGAGAACAAGAAGUACUUCUCUUUGUGUUUUGAAAACUCUUUAAUUAGCAAAUGCCUUUGGUUUCUAAUACGCAUUAAAACUUUUCUACGCAGAUUCCAAGAAUCGAAUCAUUGCUUCCGCGACGAAGGUGGGACUCCCAAGGGCCACACGCCGCAGAACUAAAGAAAAUAGGGCAAUUAAAUACUCGCUGUAAACCUGUACAGUGUUCCUGGGCACUCGGCCGCAGGUUUUUUUACAAUAAUUUCCCGCACUAGUUUUCUUAUGACUUCACUAAAGCUAUACCAAAUCCCUAGACUCUGGGCCGUACGUGCGGGCAGGGUGGCCUGAUGCCUGGGUCCCCCGCGCCCGCCGCUCGUCGGCCCUGUCCCCUUGGAGGGGUCGACACUUCCUCCUGCCUUAAGCCGGCCCCCUCUGCCAGACUCCUACUUCUCUUCGGCCUCGGCCCCUCCUCUUUUUUACAACCCGGAGAGGGGGUGAGCGGGGAUUGUGGCUUCACGUGGUCUGAGUGUGCGGAGAGAAAAGCAAUCCGCGAGGCGCACCCAUUUCUUGCCCCAUUCCGAACCCCACAUUUAGGAUCCUGCUACCUAAAAGGCCCCCGCCAAACCCAGCAUUUUCAGCCCAAGGAGGGCUAAACACGACUCGGGGUCACGUCUCUCUCCGCGGAGGCAGUACUCUUAUUCUCAGGCUCUCCAUG